GAUUGUUUCACGUGUAAUGAAAAGCUAGGGUCCAGAAGAUCACUGCGGCCAGAUGCCAAUUUUGCUGCCCUCGUCAGUAAGACUUGUCCAAGCCCUGAUGUAUGUGAAGCUCAUCAGGAGGGAAUGCUAGCAAGAAUCAGCUAACACAAUAGCAGCAAGCUUUCAAUGACAGCGUUAAGGAAGGGUGACGAUUCACCCUAACAAUUGUUUCUGAUCCCACCCUCUAAUCAAUUUCCCACCCCCCAGCUCCCACCCCGCAAUCAAUUUCUCACCACCCACCCUCCUCCCCCCCCCGCUCCCUCCCACCAAUAGUUCCCUCCUUCUGCAAAAAACCUCCCAGCCCCCCAGCUUCCCACCCCAACAAUUCCUUCCUCCAAAUUCCAACAACUUGGGAGUGUAACGUGAUCAGAGUACAAUUUCUCCCCCAGAAUUGCCACCCCACAGAAUUCCCUCCCCCUCCCCCCAUGCUCAAUGCCAGCAGUUACGGAGUCCAAUCAUUUUUGAUGCCAACCAUCUCCCACAACAGCCAUUUCUCACCCCAGCAGUUCCCCACCCCCCAAAUUCCCUCCCCAACAAUAUUACAGUACAGCCAUUUCAUUUCCAACCUCAAAAAGAUCCCAGUGCCCCAAGAAUUCCCAACCGAAGAAUUCCCACCCCAAAUUCCCUCCCCCCACCCCGGGUUCCCACCCCAACAAUAUCACAGUACGGCCAUUUCAUUUCCAACCCCAAAGAGAUCCCAGCACCCCAAGAAUUCCCCCCCCAAGUUCCCACCCGAAAUUCCCUCCCCCCACCCCGCAACCAUCCCCUCCCCGCCCUCUUCCCACCCCCCAGCCAACAUUUCCCAGCCCAAAGCUUUGACAGUCCAAGCCUUUGGCGGUCCAUCAGCUUCAGAUCCCGCAUUGCCCCAGCCCAAGAUGCCGUUUGUGGACAGCCCAGUUUUGGAGGGGUAGGGCUGGGGCCGGUGCUGGUGCCUCCGGAACACUGCCGCUGCUCUCUGGGCAUGGUGGGGGCCAGCGAGGAGCCCAGGGCUCCAGGGAGCCGUCUUGGUCGGCUAUGGCCACGUCUCCUGCUCCAGCAAGUGGG
Molecule: long non-coding RNA, 1083 nt
Filed under: Gallus gallus (chicken)
Lineage: Eukaryota; Metazoa; Chordata; Aves; Galliformes; Phasianidae
Description: lncRNA (ENSGALG00010028631.1)
Source: RNAcentral